AUGUUAUGCUAAGCAACUUUAUGGCUGGGAUGGGGUUAUACAGAGACAGCUUCAACGGUCUCAAUAUCAAAUGCAAUAUAGUCGGCCUGUUCAAGUGGUUCUCUGGAUUUUUCUUUUCUUUUGUUUAAUUGUGUUAAUUGCAUUACGUGCAUUGUGAGGACCUAUGUAAUCUUCAUUCUGCAUUUUACAGCAGGGGCAAUAUGUGGCGUGAAGGGGGUUCUAGGGGCAGGAUGUAGGAUAAGUGUCCUGGAAAAGGUUUGUUCAUUAAGUGGCUCAUUAGGGAUAUAGGUAGGUUUUUCAUUUUUUGUAUGCUGCAACAUUUUGUUCCACGUAUAACUUCCGCCUUCAUCCCUUACUCUCUCUAGUAUCUAAUUCAAUGAUUCUUCCCUUUCCCUUCAAAUUUUGAUUUCUUUGACGAGGGGCAAUUUAUGUUGUAUUAUUGUAAGAGCCAAGAGUCACAUAGAAAGUUAGCAAAGGAUGAUUCUUGU
Molecule: unclassified non-coding RNA, 488 nt
Filed under: Hevea brasiliensis (rubber tree)
Lineage: Eukaryota; Viridiplantae; Streptophyta; Magnoliopsida; Malpighiales; Euphorbiaceae
Source: RNAcentral